This 408-nucleotide long non-coding RNA is filed under the name Corvus moneduloides (New Caledonian crow). RNAcentral's name for it is "lncRNA (ENSCMUG00000008171.2)". Lineage: Eukaryota; Metazoa; Chordata; Aves; Passeriformes; Corvidae. The record is from RNAcentral.
UUCAAUUCCCAGGACAAACAAGAGCAGCUAAAACACGCACUGUUAGCUUCCAGAAGUAUGUGUUCCCACACUCACAUAAAAGUUCUGUCUCCUAUGCUGUCUGUUCUGUCUGCAACCACCUUCUGAUAAUUUGUUCUGGAUGGGCUUCAGGAAAUGAAGGAAAUUGGUGCACUGCAUCUGUUUUUUCAAUACAUGUAAUAAUUUAUGUCCAACUUUGGUAUUGUUCAAGAUACAGUGGUCCAAAAAGAUGUAGCACACCAGAAAGAAAAGAUCAUCGGGAAGAAUAGUUUUAGCACGUGGUUCUCACAGCCAUCCCAUUCAGCAGCAUCUCAUCCUGCAGGACCGUGUACAGAGACCAGAAUCCACACCCAACCACAAGCAGAACAAGAGGAAUGCAGGAGCUUUCUG